GCAACCCUACCUCUCACGAAGGCGAAAGCAAGGCGGGGCUAUAAAAGGUCGGUAAAUUACUGCAAGAAAUGUAUCGGCCAGGACCCCGCGCAGGUAACCGAAAGAGAGAGGAUUCUGAUUAAGAUGAACCUCAAGGUAAUUGCAAAGUUCGAAAAGAACUACCCGCAUUUACCAAGCUGUUCUCCUAAUCAGGUUCUUCUAGCUCUCCUACCGUCUGCUAUCAAUAGUAGGGUGGACCCACCCGUGGUUCUGUUGAGAAACCAGUGCCCGUGAUAGCCGCAGCCUCGGCAGUCCCAAAGGAAGCUGACAACUCUUCACACUCAGCGUUAAAGAGAGGUCGAUCUACGGAGGAACCAUACCCUGAGGCCAAGAAGGCUUCUACGGCCCCGGCUUCUCAGCCUACACCUAUAACUUCCACUCCGUCCGUCAGCAAGUCGAUCGUGACCAAACCGUCCCUUCAAGCUCUAAGCCUUAUAAGGACCACAAGGGGGAGGUGAAGUCACAACCGGCAAGCCAAACAGGACGUAAGAGGACCAUCUACCCGGACAAUCUUCGAGUAGCAAUCAUCGACAAGGUUGAACCGGAAGGUAAAAUCAGCGACAGCCGAUGGCUAUUAUUCGAAGAUCGACUGAGAGGGCUUGUUUUUACGGAAGAGGGUGACCCGAAAAGAAUGUAGUUUGGCAGCGCAACCCUUUACAAGGGCGUAAAAGUCAUGUGCUGUGAAAACCAGGAUUACCUAGUCACUGCAGUAUCUGGAUUUCGCGAUCUCUGGUGUCCUUAAAGAACAUCCCCUGCCGUAAGGUAUUGACAGCUUGGGUGCCACCACCAUCCGUGGACUAGGGAGUGGGCAGUACGUCUCUUACGCGGUCUCCAAUGGUGAUAAGUGGAGGAGACGUUACGGUGGCGGGAAUGGAUUCUAAAUCCGGGAGGGUUCUCAUUUUCAUCUCUCUCUACCUACCGUACGAGCGACCUGACCCACCUGGCCACGAAGUAGAGGAGCUGCUCAAAGAUCUGGCUGACAAAGGGCAUCUAAUUAUAGGUUGUGAUGCCAAUGCACACCACUUCCAAUGGGGCAGAAACGAUACCAUUGUCAGAGGGAAAUUACUGCAAACAAUCUCGGACCUAAUGCAAGGAGCUCUAGCCACCCUAUUACGGUGGGCGCGUCGCAAUGGAUUAGGCGUGAACCCAUCAAAGAAAGAGCUCGCCCUUUUCACUAAAAAACGUAAAUAUCCUUCAUUUACACCACCGAGACUAGAUGGAGUCACUUUAAACCUCUAACCAGAAGCCAAAUACCUUGGCACUAUCCUUGACCGCCAAUUAAGUUGGAAGAGGAACACUGAGGAACGAGCUAAGAGAGGC
Molecule: long non-coding RNA, 1359 nt
Organism: Musca domestica (house fly)
Lineage: Eukaryota; Metazoa; Arthropoda; Insecta; Diptera; Muscidae
Exons: 3
Source: RefSeq, a predicted model, not a curated record